This 3442-nucleotide long non-coding RNA is filed under the name Sorghum bicolor (sorghum). RNAcentral's name for it is "long non-coding RNA (SBIC_LNC012970)". The record is from RNAcentral. Lineage: Eukaryota; Viridiplantae; Streptophyta; Magnoliopsida; Poales; Poaceae.
UCUUCUAGAUGAUAGAAAAUUGCGCGGCACGUUAAUAUCUCUAUGUAAACCCGACGUGUGGGCCUUUCUUCCGUAUUUCCUGAUAACCCCCCUGCAGAAAUAGACAAACACCAAAACUUGUGGAAUUCUGUCAGAUAAAACCCUAAGUCUAGGUGUUGGUUCCAUUUAGAUCCUUUUCCAUGAUUAGUUGAUGGUUAAAUGUGAGCAUUAAGGACCGUCAACAAGCUCCCCCAAGCUUAACCUUUGCUUGUCCCUGAGCAAAGAUGGACUCAAGAGUUUCUGCAGUGGUUUCAUGCCUUAAAGAUACACAUGCAUUUAAACAAGAUCUCAUCUCUGGGUUAGGGUAAACUGUUAAGAUUUAAACUUACUCAUUUACCUUUCACCAUGGGACUUGUAACCGUCACUUCUGUCUUGAGUAGUUAAAAGAUAGAACAGUCUAGUCAAGCGCCAUGUCUCUUGUUCUUCGAUUAACUAUAGCUCUGGAGUUUUUGCAGAUUUUCAAAUAAAACUUAGAGAUUCCUUGUAUGACUCUCUCUAGUCUCUCUUUUGUGGUAUUUCUGGAUCCUUACCAAGGCAGUAUUGGUAUAUGCCUUCUCUCAAAGUAUGUGGUAUUUGUGGUAUAAGGCAUAGUGGCAUUGCCUUCUCUCUCACCCUACUCUAAUAAGGCUUUUGAUAUCUGGAGCUCAUAGGUGGGAGACCGCUAAUACAUACUUACAAGACAUUUAUUGCAUAGUCAAACCAUGGAUCCAGAGAAACAAGUCAAUAAGUCAAAUCAAGAUGUGCAUGUGUGGCGAAUGAAUGAUGCAUGAUAAUGAUGGUGAUAACAAUGGUGAAAGUCUAAUUCUACUUUUGCUCUUUUGAGGGGAUACAUACCUUCCUUGCUUUUUUGAAACUUUUGGGGAGAAUGAGAUGCUCUGUAUUUUCUUUUUCUUUCCUCUCAGGUGGGUAUCUUGUACCCCUAAUUCUACUGUCGGACACUUGUCCAUUUUUACCUCUCGUCUCACUUUUUUUUUCUUGCGAGGUUCCGGGCACUUGCCCCUUUUUAUUUCCUCGUAUCUUUUUUCUUUUUUCUUCUCUCUCUUUUUUUAGAGCACUCAUUUCCUAAAAUAAUAUAGCAAGUGGUAGUAAUCAAGAUAACUUGAGCAUUUAUUUCACAGGGGAAAACAGAAAUAGGAGAAUGUUUUUGGCUAUUCUCUCCCGGAUUAGGAGUAGAAUAUUUUUGGGUGGUUCUGGAGAUGGAAAUGGAUGGAUAUAUGUGGAUGCGUACUUCCGGAGUAGAAGCAGCAUGUAUGAGUGAACGUGCAAGUGAAUCUUGAUUUUAACCAUAUGACAAGCUCCUAAGGGUCUACACAGCUUGACCACACUCAAUGCUCAUAAGCAGUAAAAAGUAAAUGUGUGGCUCAAAGUCUAACAAGCAUGUAUAUAUGGCUGUGGUAGGAAUUUAAACUCUCAUCAUACAGGAACUCAUCAUGUGUUAUUUUAAAGAUUUUCAAAGAUAAAAAUUCUCCAGAAUUCUAGCAUCUCUAGGAACACAUAAACAGCAGCUCAACCUUCCCAUAUCGUAUCCGUUAAUGACUUAGACUUUAGAUCAAGUACUCUCCCCACAAGUUCAGGUUUAGAGCAAAACUUAAUUAAUAACAGUUAGGCCUAAACUUGAGAGAGAUUUCAAUUUUAAGAACUAGUCAUGGCAGAGCAACUAUUCAUCAUUUCUAUGUGAGAGCUUAUUAUGAGAGUUUAUAGCAAACUUUAUUUAUUUAUUUAUUUAGCAAACUAAGCAAAGAUAUAUAUGAGCAUAAAAUCUUUAUUUGGGUUUUUAUGAUUAUGCAUCUUUUUAUUAUUUGAGUAAAAUAUAAAGAUGAGUAGAACACUUAGCUGGAUAAAUGGAGGUGCUCUCCCCCAAGCUGGAUUUUGACGUAAUCUCUUCUGAUAUAGCUAGCAAGUGGCGGAGGUGUAUUUGAAUGUUAGCAGCACCCUGACAGUGAUUAGGAUGUCCUCCGUCAGCUAGUCUUCUUUGAUUCUUGAAUUCUGUGGAGCUCAAAUAGACAACAAAGCUUUGUGGAACUAGUUAAGUGUUAGCAUAAAUAUCUAGCCUUUAUCAUGUUGAGCCUCCUCAAUAAAUAUUACACUCUUUAGUAGGAUCAUGAAUUUAUUUUUAUAUUCUCAUUUUUAUAGCGCAUAAAUAUAUUUAUUUUAUUUUUAUGCCACCACAGUGAAUGUACUUAUGGGUUUUAUGCCAUGAGCAUACUCACAUAGGGCUUACUAUUUUUUUAAUAUUUUUAUUUUCUUUUCAAGAUGAUAUGAACCUGAUUAACUAAGCAAACUAUUUUAAAUAAUUGAAAGGAAAUGGAUAACUACCAAGUUUACCUCUUGGCAAGGCGUUCGGUGUUUUUACGUCCUCCGAACGGGACUCUCUGUUUUCUCAGUUGUCCUGGGAUUCGCUGGAUGACGUAGUCGGUGGUUCCGGUGGCGCCUGCUCUUUGUGUAUAACUAUCUUCUCUCGCCACACCUGACUCGGUGCUAUGGUCUCCUCAGGACAGUUCUAUUCAAGUUAUAUGUCUUCAGACCUUACUACUUCUCCUUCGUAGUCUGCCCAUCCGUCCUUGACGAUCUGCCUCCUCUGGUUGCGGUUGCAUUGUCUUCUUCUUGUCCUGACCUGCUUAGAGUCUUCAACUAUAUAGUUAGGGUCAGUAAAAUAGCGCCGUACCUUCUCAGAGGGGAAAUGCAUGUGGACUUCUCCAGUUCCAAUGUAGAUGAUUGCUUUAACGGUGCUGAGGAACGGUCUCCUAUGAAUGAUGGGUGGAUCAUACUUGUCUUCAACCUUUCGGAAUGUCUGAUCUGCCAUCUGGAGCUGAAUAUAUGUCGGUUUUAGGGGCAUAGUUCCGAAUAGGAGCUGAUAGGUGACUGCAGCCUUUAUGUUGAUGCCUGAUCUGGUGUCGUAGAGUGUCUUCUAAAAAGAAUAUCCGUUGAUUGUGCACUCAAUGCUUGGAACACCAGGGUCGUCCUUCUUGAUCAAGAAAGGUGACUUGAGUUGAUGAUCUUGACCUCCUUGAGCUGCAGUGACCAUCUUAGCUGACUCGGUACACAUUUGCUUGUUCCUAUUCCUCCUGUUGGUCCUCUUCCUUGGUUCAUGUCGGGAUUGCUCUGAGAUUUGUAUAGUCUUAUUCUUGAAGGAAAACAUCUCCUUCCUUCCCUUGAUGUAGAAACUGAUCUUUGCAGCACUAGCGUAGAUGAUAGCUCCCGAGGUGUUCAGGAAUGGCCUCCCUAGAAUGAUGGGUGCCCUCUCAUCACUACCAGUCUCUAUCACCACGAAGUCUGCUGGAGCGUAUAAGGUACCAACUCAGAUGUAGAGGUUCUUCAAUAUUCUCUUUGGGAAACUAAGCGUACGAUCUCCAAGCUGCAAACACAUGGCUGUUUCUAAUAAAGGAUGUGUAAAGAAUUUUUC